CGCAAAGAGAUGACGAUGGAGGAAUUGUUCGACUUAGCAUUGAAGAAGACAACCGGGCUUCAGAAAAGAAUAAUGUCUGCAACAUGGAAGCAAAGGCUAACAUGGUGGAAGACUCGAGGUCUAAGAACAAGAAAAGGAAGCGUUCUGGCUCAUCUAUGGACAAAGAAAAAGUCGACAAUGCAAAACGGUUCAAAGGCAACUGUUAUACUUGCGGGAAGCCGGGAUAUCGGGCUAAAGACUGUCGAAGCAAAAAGAAGGAUACACAGAAAAAGAAACCGCUCCAAGCCAAUAUAACCGAAGUGGAUAAAAUUUCUACGGAUGUUGGAGACAUCAACCUAUCUGCUGUUGUUUCUGAAGUUAAUUUGGUAUCUAAUGCAAAGGAUUGGUGGUUGGACACAGGAGCCACUCGUCACAUCUGUGCAGAUAAGGGUUUAUUCGCUGAAUAUAAGACCUUGAAUCAUAAUGAGUGUCUUUACAUGGGAAAUUCUACAACAUCCAAUAUUGAAGGGAUUGGAAAGGUUAUUCUGAAAUUCACAUCAGGGAAGGAACUGACGCUUAAUGAAGUUGUACAUGUCCCAGAUAUCAGAAAGAAUUUGAUUUCAGGAGCUAUUCUUAGUAAGAAAGGAUUUAAAAUGGUGUUUGAAUCUGAUAGAUUUGUACUUACUAAGGGGGACAUAUAUGUUGGGAAGGGUUAUUUACUUGAUGGUCUAUUUAAGGCCAAUACUAUUGUAGUGGAGAAAAAAUCCACAUAUUUGUAUCCACAAGUUAUCAAUAAAACUAAUACUUCUGUUUACUUGCUUGAAUCUUCGAAUUUAUGGCAUAGCAGAUUAGGACAUGUAAAUCGUGCUUUCUUAAGAAAACUUGUAGGUUUAU
Molecule: long non-coding RNA, 873 nt
Filed under: Olea europaea subsp. europaea
Lineage: Eukaryota; Viridiplantae; Streptophyta; Magnoliopsida; Lamiales; Oleaceae
Source: RNAcentral